UACGUAGGGGGCGAGCGUUGUCCGAAGUUACUGGGCGUAAAGCGUACGUAGGCGGCCUGAUAAGUUGCAUCUGAAAGGCGACAGCUCAACUGUCGUAUGCGGUGCAAGACUGCCAGGCUUGAGGCAAGCAGAAGAGUGUGGAACUCCGAGUGUAGCGGUGGAAUGCGUAGAGAUUCGGAAGAACACCCAUGGCGAAGGCAGCACUCUGGGCUUGACCUGACGCUGAGGUACGAAAGCCAGGGGAGCGAACGGG
RNAcentral lists this ribosomal RNA (253 nucleotides) under uncultured bacterium. Its description in RNAcentral is "partial 16S ribosomal RNA". It matches the Rfam family "Bacterial small subunit ribosomal RNA", at positions 524 to 776 of the family's 1533-position model. The record is from RNAcentral.